Jaculus jaculus (lesser Egyptian jerboa) is the source of this 128-nucleotide small nucleolar RNA. NCBI's taxonomy places the organism in Eukaryota, Metazoa, Chordata, Mammalia, Rodentia, Dipodidae. The record is from Ensembl.
GCUUGUUGAAAAUCACCCUGGGCCUUGUCCGUGGCCGUGGGUGAGAUUCGGCGCCCAAAUCUUCCAGGGGCCUCAGCUCACUUCCCGCCGCCGCGGUGUGGGAGGGUGAAACCCAGGCCCCGACAAGG